GAUGAACGCUGGCGGCGUGCCUAAUACAUGCAAGUCGAACGAAGUACAAGGAGCUUGCUUCUUGUAACUGAGUGGCGAACGGGUGAGUAAUACAUAAGCAACCUGCCUUAAUGCCUGGAAUAACAGUUGGAAACGACUGCUAAUACCGGAUAACAAUCAGAGUGACAUCACACUGAUUUAAAAGUUGGGAUACAACACAUUGAGAUGGGCUUAUGGCGCAUUAGCUAGUUGGUGAGAUAAAAGACUCACCAAGGCGAUGAUGCGUAGCCGACCUGAGAGGGUGACCGGCCACACUGGGACUGAGACACGGCCCAG
This 315-nucleotide ribosomal RNA is filed under the name uncultured bacterium. Its description in RNAcentral is "bacterial SSU rRNA". It matches the Rfam family "Bacterial small subunit ribosomal RNA", at positions 28 to 334 of the family's 1533-position model. The record is from RNAcentral.